GAUAACAACGGGGAAGUGGUCGUGGUGAUACGUGGGGGGCAAGCGUUAAUCGGAAUGACUGGGCGGAAAGCGUGCGCAGGCGGUGAUGUAAGACAGGUGUGAAAUCCCCGGGCUUAACCUGGGAACUGCAUUUGUGACUGCAUCGCUGGAGUGCGGCAGAGGGGGAUGGAAUUCCGCGUGUAGCAGUGAAAUGCGUAGAUAUGCGGAGGAACACCGAUGGCGAAGGCAAUCCCCUGGGCCUGCACUGACGCUCAUGCACGAAAGCGUGGGGAGCAAACAGGAUUAGAUACCCCAGUAGUC
Molecule: ribosomal RNA, 300 nt
Filed under: uncultured Desulfurococcus sp.
Lineage: Archaea; Thermoproteati; Thermoproteota; Thermoprotei; Desulfurococcales; Desulfurococcaceae
Description: bacterial SSU rRNA
Rfam family: Bacterial small subunit ribosomal RNA
Source: RNAcentral